RNAcentral lists this ribosomal RNA (754 nucleotides) under uncultured Pseudomonas sp. RNAcentral describes it as "bacterial SSU rRNA". It matches the Rfam family "Bacterial small subunit ribosomal RNA", at positions 28 to 776 of the family's 1533-position model. The record is from RNAcentral. Lineage: Bacteria; Pseudomonadati; Pseudomonadota; Gammaproteobacteria; Pseudomonadales; Pseudomonadaceae.
AUUGAACGCUGGCGGCAGGCCUAACACAUGCAAGUCGAGCGGUAGAGAGAAGCUUGCUUCUCUUGAGAGCGGCGGACGGGGUGAGUAAUGCCUAGGAAUCUGCCUGGUAGUGGGGGAUAACGUUCGGAAACGGACGCUAAUACCGCAUACGUCCUACGGGAGAAAGCAGGGGACCUUCGGGCCUUGCGCUAUCAGAUGAGCCUAGGUCGGAUUAGCUAGUUGGUGAGGUAAUGGCUCACCAAGGCGACGAUCCGUAACUGGUCUGAGAGGAUGAUCAGUCACACUGGAACUGAGACACGGUCCAGACUCCUACGGGAGGCAGCAGUGGGGAAUAUUGGACAAUGGGCGAAAGCCUGAUCCAGCCAUGCCGCGUGUGUGAAGAAGGUCUUCGGAUUGUAAAGCACUUUAAGUUGGGAGGAAGGGUUGUAGAUUAAUACUCUGCAAUUUUGACGUUACCGACAGAAUAAGCACCGGCUAACUCUGUGCCAGCAGCCGCGGUAAUACAGAGGGUGCAAGCGUUAAUCGGAAUUACUGGGCGUAAAGCGCGCGUAGGUGGUUUGUUAAGUUGGAUGUGAAAUCCCCGGGCUCAACCUGGGAACUGCAUUCAAAACUGACUGACUAGAGUAUGGUAGAGGGUGGUGGAAUUUCCUGUGUAGCGGUGAAAUGCGUAGAUAUAGGAAGGAACACCAGUGGCGAAGGCGACCACCUGGACUAAUACUGACACUGAGGUGCGAAAGCGUGGGGAGCAAACAGG